GGGCGAAAGAUACCAAAGGGACAGUCAAACUCAUAAAUCUAAAACAAACUGACAACGCCAUGGCUAAAAAUGAAAAAGACAAACAGACAAACAAUAGUAAAUAUGACACAACAUAGAAAACUAAAGAAUAAACAACACGAACCCCACCAAAAACUAGGGGUGAUCUCAGGUGCUCCGGAAGGGUAAGCAGAUCCUGCUCCACAUGUGGCACCCAUCGUGUUGCUUAUGUGAUUACAAAUCCGGUAAAUAGUCUAAUUCGGUAGGUCACAUUCAUGAAAGGGAAGGGGAUUAUAGUUACGACGUAAGGAACAUAUCCGAUAUCAUUUGUGAAACGGUUAUUCCAUAACGGUCAACCAACUCGUGAUGGCGUCAGUAAAAUUUA
RNAcentral lists this long non-coding RNA (382 nucleotides) under Mytilus galloprovincialis (Mediterranean mussel). Lineage: Eukaryota; Metazoa; Mollusca; Bivalvia; Mytilida; Mytilidae. The record is from RNAcentral.